UGUAAGUCAGGGGUGUAAGGCGGUAGCUUAACUAUCGGAGUGCCCUUGAUACUGACGAGCUUGAAUGCAGCUGAGGUAGGCGGAAUGUGACAAGUAGCGGUGAAAUGCAUAGAUAUGUCACAGAACACCGAUUGCGAAGGCAGCUUACUAAAGUGCGAUUGACGCUGAGGCACGAAAGCGUGGGGAUCAAACAGGAUUAGAUACCCUGGUAGUCCACGCCCUAAACGAUGAAUACUCGAUGUUGGCGAUAUACGGUCAGCGUCUAAGCGAAAGCGUUAAGUAUUCCACCUGGGGAGUACGCCCGCAAGGGUGAAACUCAAAGGAAUUGACGGGGGCCCGCACAAGCGGAGGAGCAUGUGGUUUAAUUCGAUGAUACGCGAGGAACCUUACCCGGGCUUGAAAGUUAGUGAAUGAUACAGAGACGUAUCAGUCCUUCGGGACACGAAACUAGGUGCUGCAUGGCUGUCGUCAGCUCGUGCCGUGAGGUGUUGGGUUAAGUCCCGCAACGAGCGCAACCCCUGUGUUUAGUUGCCAGCACGUAAUGGUGGGGACUCUAAACAGACUGCCUAUGCAAAUAGAGAGGAAGGAGGGGACGACGUCAAGUCAUCAUGGCCCUUACGUCCGGGGCUACACACGUGCUACAAUGGAUGGUACAGAGGGCUGCUACCUGGCAACAGGAUGCCAAUCUCUAAAAGCCAUUCACAGUUCGGAUCGGGGUCUGCAACUCGACCCCGUGAAGUUGGAUUCGCUAGUAAUCGCGUAUCAGCAAUGACGCGGUGAAUACGUUCCCGGGCCUUGUACACACCGCCCGUCAAGCCAUGGAAGCUGGAAGUGCCUGAAGUGCGUAACCGCAAGGAGCGUCCUAGGGUAAAGUCGGUAACUGGGGCUAAGUCGUAACAAGGUAACC
This 907-nucleotide ribosomal RNA is filed under the name uncultured bacterium. RNAcentral's name for it is "bacterial SSU rRNA". It matches the Rfam family "Bacterial small subunit ribosomal RNA", at positions 582 to 1501 of the family's 1533-position model. The record is from RNAcentral.